UACGGCCACGUCGCAUUUAAACACCGGUUCCCGUACGAUUACUGAAGUUAAGCAACGUCGAGCCUGUCAAUACCUAGAUGGAUGAUCACUUGGGAAUACCGAGUGCUGUA
Molecule: non-coding RNA, 110 nt
Organism: Acanthosepion pharaonis
Lineage: Eukaryota; Metazoa; Mollusca; Cephalopoda; Sepiida; Sepiidae
Source: the annotation of a GenBank genome assembly